AUUGAACGCUGGCGGCAUGGCUAAAACAUGCAAGUCCGGGAUAGCCUUCGGGUGAAACCGGCGGAAGGGCGAGUAAUGCGAUCGAACGUGCCCCGAGGUGGAGGAUAGCUGCGGGAAACUGCAGGUAAUACUCCAUGUGUUCCAAGGAAGAAAGCUUCGGCGCCUUGGGAGCGGCGAUCGUCCUAUCAGGUAGUUGGCGGGGUAAGAGCCCACCAAGCCGAAGACGGGUAGCGGGUGUGAGAGCACGGCCCGCCGCAUCGGGACUGAGACACUGCCCGGACUCCUACGGGAGGCUGCAGUAACGAAUAUUCCGCAAUGCGCGAAAGCGUGACGGAGCAAUGCCGCGUGCAGGAUGAAGCGGUUUCGCCGUGUAAACUGCUGUCAGGGACUAGAAAUACUGAUCAGUCCCAAAGGAAGAGACGGCUAACCCUGUGCCAGCAGCCGCGGUAAUACAGGGGUCUCGAGCGUUAAUCGGAAUCACUGGGCUUAAAGGGUGCGCAGGCGGAUCAGAGGGUGUACUGUGAAAGCCCCCGGCUCAACCGGGGAACUGCAGUGCAAACCGCUGGUCUUGAGGUGGGUAGGGGUCGUUGGAACGCUCGGUGGAGCGGUGAAAUGCGUAGAUAUCGAGCGGAACGCCGAAGGUGAAGACAAGCGACUGGGCCCAUUCUGACGCUCAUGCACGAAAGCGUGGGGAUCAAACAGGAUUAGAUACCCUGGUAGUCCACGCCUUAAACGAUGCGCACUGGAUCGGCGCGGGUUUGACCCCGUGUCGGUCGGAGAGAAAUUGUUAAGUGCGCCGCCUGGGAAGUACGGUCGCAAGGCUAAAACUCAAAGGAAUUGACGGGGGCUCACACAAGCGGUGGAGCAUGUUGCUUAAUUCGAAGCAACGCGAAGAACCUUACCUGGGCUUGACAUGUACGGAUUAACUUUAUGAAAGUAGAGCCACACCCUCGGGUGGAACGUACACAGGUGCUGCAUGGCUGUCGUCAGCUCGUGCUGUGAAGUGUCGGGUUAAGUCCCUUAACGAGCGCAACCCCUGUCGCUAGUUGCCAACGCGUAAUGGCGGGGACUCUAGCGAGACUGCCGGUGUCAAACCGGAGGAAGGUGGGGAUGACGUCAAGUCCUCAUGGCCCUUACGUCCAGGGAUGCAAACGUGCUACAAUGCCGUAUACAAAGCGAUGCAAGACCGCGAGGUGGAGCAAAUCGCAUAAAGUACGGCCCAGUUCGGAUUGGAGUCUGCAACCCGACUCCAUGAAGCCGGAAUCGCUAGUAAUCGCGGAUCAGCUAUGCCGCGGUGAAUACGUUCCUGAGCCUUGUACACACCGCCCGUCAAGUCAUGGGAGCCGGGAGUGCCCGAAGUCGCCAAAUUUCAUUGGUGCCCACGGCAAGCUCGGUGACUGGGACU
This 1405-nucleotide ribosomal RNA is filed under the name uncultured bacterium. Its description in RNAcentral is "bacterial SSU rRNA". It matches the Rfam family "Bacterial small subunit ribosomal RNA". The record is from RNAcentral.